Long non-coding RNA from Armigeres subalbatus, 1171 nucleotides. RefSeq lists it as uncharacterized. The transcript is spliced from 4 exons. The record is from RefSeq and is a predicted model, not a curated record. Lineage: Eukaryota; Metazoa; Arthropoda; Insecta; Diptera; Culicidae.
AUCCGCCGUCCGUGCGCAUCGUCAAGAAGUUCAUCACAACAUCAGUCCGCCAUCUUUCACAGCGCAGUAUCAUAUUUUUUAAAAAGGAUUCUUCGGAGAUUUAUUGCUUUAUUUAAAAAGGAAAUCGGAUAUCAGGAAUCCCUGACGAAACCCGAAUAUUCGGAAUCCCCAACUCGGGAGUUCUUUUGUGCAGACAUUGCGGCACCCAAAACUACGUUAAAAAAAUCGUUCCGGGCGAUGAGAAGCGGCCAAGAUUCCACCCCUUGCAAUCCGUAGAAAGUGAUUCGUCCUCGGAAGCCUUUUUCCUCGGUCUUCAGUAAUCCCGUUCGGAAUGCAUUUUCUAGAAAAAUCAGAAACCAAUUGACACCGUGGGCACGAUUUGUAGGACAAGUAUCUCAAGGAUCGUAUAUCGGUCGCAUGAUUGGUUGCACACUCAUCACAUCGGCGGGGUGUAUGUUGGAGGCACCGGAAAUUGAAGGGAUUUUUUCAUCAUUCAACUAGUCCAGAGCUAGCUGAUGUUAAAUAUUUUCUAAAGCUAGUCCGGAAUUUGCAUGAAAAAUGAAGACUUUACCAUUUAAAGUGACACUGAAGAAAUGCAAACAAAUAGGAAUAUUUUCUCAAGUUUUCGUUGUGAACGACAGAAGAAAAACUUUGAGCCAGAAUCAUCCUCGUACUAACACAAUCGAGAAGGCUGCGCAACAAAAUUGCCGUGUUCGAGCCACAUUUGAUGAAGAGUCUGCGUCUCUCCCACCAAGCUGCAGGAAAAAUAUGAACGCUGGGUUAACUUUGUACCGAAAGUGUCCGUUCUGGAGCAGAACACCAUCAAUCUUGAUCCGAGAUCGAGGAGUUGUUGGACUUCAACAACAUUAUUGUCCAGAUCACGAAUCCUUCCGCACAAUGUUACAAUCGACGCAACAAAGUUUAUGCAAAUAUUUUGAUUUAGUCGGGAAGCACAAUCAAUUUUGAUUUCCCCUCUGUCGGAAGUCGGAAGCCAAAACGUUUCUCGCCAAGUGGAAAUUGUAGUAAUCAGCGAGUGGAACAUGCCGCCCUGACUUUUGAAGGGAUUCAUCCAGCGAACCUUGGAUAGUGCAUAGUAGCACAGGUAUAUGAGCGUAUGACGUCACCCAAGACCCAUGAAGCGGAUUCCGAGCCGCUCGGCUAUGUUGUUUUC